This 427-nucleotide long non-coding RNA is filed under the name Nicotiana benthamiana. RNAcentral's name for it is "long non-coding RNA (NBEN_LNC018983)". The record is from RNAcentral. Lineage: Eukaryota; Viridiplantae; Streptophyta; Magnoliopsida; Solanales; Solanaceae.
UCCCGAGCCAUCCUUGCAAGAACGGAAAAAUAUUUUUCCCUUGUCUUCCACCAAUCAAAAAAGUCGAAAGAGCCGUCUGGAUUCUCAUUCUCUAGUCCCUGCGACAAAUAAACUUGAAGCUCAUUUAGAUGGGAAAUUUCAUAUAAAUUAUCCCCUUGAGUACCCCUGAACUCCGUCCACGAUUUUAAGAGCUGUUAAGCCAGCAGCUCUUUUAGACGACUGUGAUGUAGACAAAGUAGGGGUUGGAAUAUUAGCCCGAGCAUGCUCUAACGCCUGUUUAUAAGCAUUAUAAACAGUUUGAGCAUUAACAUUAAUUGAUGUUUUCGAAUCAGCUAGUGUAGCAAUUUCUACUUCUGAAAGAUCUAAAGAUUGAUAAAUAGUAGAAUACCAAAAGUGAGGACCUCCUAAUUUCAUAGUUGGAUUNNNN